Molecule: ribosomal RNA, 282 nt
Filed under: uncultured prokaryote
Description: partial 16S ribosomal RNA
Rfam family: Bacterial small subunit ribosomal RNA
Source: RNAcentral
UACGUAGGUGGCAAGCGUUGUCCGGAUUUACUGGGCGUAAAGGGAGCGUAGGCGGAUUUUUAAGUGGGAUGUGAAAUACCCGGGCUUAACCUGGGUGCUGCAUUCCAAACUGGAAGUCUAGAGUACAGGAGGGAAAAGCGGAAUUCCUAGUGUAGCGGUGAAAUGUGUAGAGAUUAGGAAGAACACCAGUGGCGAAGGCGGCUUUCUGGACUGUAACUGACGCUGAGGCUCGAAAGCGUGGGGAGCGAACAGGAUUAGAUACCCUGGUAGUCCCUGAGCGGG